AAAUUGAAGAGUUUGAUCAUGGCUCAGAUUGAACGCUGGCGGCAGGCCUAACACAUGCAAGUCGAGCGGUAGCACAGAGAGCUUGCUCUCGGGUGACGAGCGGCGGACGGGUGAGUAAUGUCUGGGAAACUGCCUGAUGGAGGGGGAUAACUACUGGAAACGGU
RNAcentral lists this ribosomal RNA (164 nucleotides) under Klebsiella pneumoniae. RNAcentral's name for it is "partial 16S ribosomal RNA". It matches the Rfam family "Bacterial small subunit ribosomal RNA", at positions 1 to 160 of the family's 1533-position model. RNAcentral also lists the same sequence under 2 other names. Lineage: Bacteria; Pseudomonadati; Pseudomonadota; Gammaproteobacteria; Enterobacterales; Enterobacteriaceae. The record is from RNAcentral.